GUUCAUGUAGCUUAUAUCACAAAGCAAGGCACUGAAAAUGCCUAGAUGAGUUUUAAACUCCAUAAACA
This 68-nucleotide transfer RNA is filed under the name Ochotona himalayana (Himalayan pika). RNAcentral's name for it is "tRNA-Phe". It matches the Rfam family "tRNA". Rfam says of the family: Transfer RNA (tRNA) molecules are approximately 80 nucleotides in length. Their secondary structure includes four short double-helical elements and three loops (D, anti-codon, and T loops). Further hydrogen bonds mediate the characteristic L-shaped molecular structure. tRNAs have two regions of fundamental functional importance: the anti-codon, which is responsible for specific mRNA codon recognition, and the 3' end, to which the tRNAs corresponding amino acid is attached (by aminoacyl-tRNA synthetases). tRNAs cope with the degeneracy of the genetic code in two manners: having more than one tRNA (with a specific anti-codon) for a particular amino acid; and 'wobble' base-pairing, i.e. permitting non-standard base-pairing at the 3rd anti-codon position. The record is from RNAcentral. Lineage: Eukaryota; Metazoa; Chordata; Mammalia; Lagomorpha; Ochotonidae.